GGUCUAACAGGUUAUAAAGACCAGAUAGCUGUCAUUCGAGCCUCCGGAAGUAUUAGUCGCACACGCGGUCCAUUUAGUUCAUCUAGUUCAGGAAUAAUAGCAGAGAAGUUGAUUGAAAAAAUUCGUAGUGUACGAGAGUCGAAAAGGUUUAAAGCUGUCGUCCUUCGAAUUGAUAGCCCUGGAGGAGACGCUCUUGCUUCUGAUUUAAUGUGGAGAGAAAUUAGAUUGCUGGCAGAAUCUAAACCUGUUAUAGCAUCUAUGGCUGAUGUGGCAGCCAGUGGAGGAUAUUAUAUGGCAAUGGCUGCACAAGCUAUUGUGGCAGAGAACCUUACAUUGACAGGCUCAAUAGGUGUGGUGACAGGGAAAUUCAACUUGGGAAAAUUAUAUGAAAAAAUUGGCUUCAAUAAGGAGACAAUAUCAAGGGGAAGAUAUGCAGAGCUUACUGCGGCUGAACAACGACCAUUCAGGCCUGAGGAAGCAGAACUGUUUGCCAAAUCUGCACAGCAUGCAUAUACCCAAUUCCGAGACAAGGCUGCCCUUUCAAGAUCAAUGACGGUGGAUAAAAUGGAGGAGGUUGCACAAGGGAGAGUUUGGACUGGAAAGGAUGCUCUUUCACGAGGUCUAGUUGAUGCUGUCGGUGGUCUCUCUCGUGCUGUAGCAAUUGCAAAACAGAAGGCCAAUAUACCUCAGGAUAGACAGGUUUCUGUUGUUGAGCUGUCAAGGCCAUCCACGUCCUUACCGGAAGUUUUAAGCGGCAUAGGAAGCUCUUUGGCCGGAGCAGAUAGAACUUUAAAAGAGUUGCUAAAUGAUGUGGCAUCAUCUGAUGGGAUCCAAGCCCGUAUGGACGGCGUCAUGUUUGAGAAAUUAGGAGCAGCUGCUUACACCAAUCCCCUGUUUUUGUUGAUAAAAGAUUGCCUCAGUUCCUUCUAAGUCAAAGGCUGUCUGCUGCUGUUGUAUCAGAAAUAUCUCAUUUUGUUAUUUGCUCAAGCACAACGUUCAUACAAGGAUCUUACAUUUUGUUGAGGAUGCAGAAUUCGGUAUGUCUACUUAAGGACAAAAGCAAAAAAUCAGUGGUUGCAGGGUGGUAUAUAUGAGCUCUUGCUGAUUUUAAUUCAGGAUGGGUGGUUCUCAACAAGGGUAUGGAGGUACUACACGAAUUAGUAUCAUGACAUUCUGUUAUAUACAACUACUGUAACUUCGAAACAAUUCCACUUUGCACUUCCGUAUGAGUCAUUCUGUUUGAACAGAUAGAUCCAUUGUGACAACGGCCAUGUAAAAAAUACAGAUAUACAAUUUAGAAGUGG
RNAcentral lists this unclassified non-coding RNA (1304 nucleotides) under Hevea brasiliensis (rubber tree). The record is from RNAcentral. Lineage: Eukaryota; Viridiplantae; Streptophyta; Magnoliopsida; Malpighiales; Euphorbiaceae.